GCUAAAGUGGGGACAGCUGAGAGGGGAAUAUGUAGGGUGCGAGCGGUAAUCGGAAUGACGUGGGGGAAAGGGUGCGCAGGCGGCAGAGCAAGGCGAUUGGGAAAGCCCCGAGCUUAACUUGGGAAUUGCGCUCGAAACUACGUGUCUGGAGUGUGGCAGAGGAAGGUGGAAUUCCACGUGUAGCGGUGAAAUGCGUAGAGAUGUGGAGGAACACCAAUGGCGAAGGCAGCCUUCUGGGCCAACACUGACGCUCAUGCACGAAAGCGUGGGGAGCAAACAGGAUUAGAUACCCUGGUAGUC
RNAcentral lists this ribosomal RNA (300 nucleotides) under uncultured Prevotella sp. Its description in RNAcentral is "bacterial SSU rRNA". The stretch from base 52 to 300 matches the Rfam family "Bacterial small subunit ribosomal RNA", at positions 547 to 795 of the family's 1533-position model. Lineage: Bacteria; Pseudomonadati; Bacteroidota; Bacteroidia; Bacteroidales; Prevotellaceae. The record is from RNAcentral.